Molecule: transfer RNA, 84 nt
Filed under: Bacteroidetes bacterium HGW-Bacteroidetes-17
Lineage: Bacteria; Pseudomonadati; Bacteroidota
Description: tRNA-Leu
Rfam family: tRNA
About the family: Transfer RNA (tRNA) molecules are approximately 80 nucleotides in length. Their secondary structure includes four short double-helical elements and three loops (D, anti-codon, and T loops).
Source: RNAcentral
GCCCAGGUGGUGAAAUUGGUAGACACGCCAGCUUGAGGGGCUGGUGACCGUUAGGUCGUGCAAGUUCGAGUCUUGUUCUGGGCA